Molecule: ribosomal RNA, 524 nt
Filed under: uncultured Diversisporaceae
Lineage: Eukaryota; Fungi; Glomeromycota; Glomeromycetes; Diversisporales
Description: SSU rRNA
Rfam family: Eukaryotic small subunit ribosomal RNA
Source: RNAcentral
AGCAGCCGCGGUAAUUCCAGCUCCAAUAGCGUAUAUUAAAGUUGUUGCAGUUAAAAAGCUCGUAGUUGAACUUCGGGGUUUACCCAUUGGUCAGGCUUAAUUGUCUGUACUGGUGAGAUGAAUCUCUACCUUCUGAGGAACUUUCAUGCCAUUUAUUUGGUGUGAUGGGAAAUCAGGACUGUUACUUUGAAAAAAUUAGAGUGUUUAAAGCAGGCUAACGUCUGAAUACAUUAGCAUGGAAUAAUGAAAUAGGACGGACUGAUUCUAUUUCGUUGGUUUCUAGGAUCACCGUAAUGAUUAAUAGGGAUAGUUGGGGGCAUUAGUAUUCAAUUGUCAGAGGUGAAAUUCUUGGAUUUAUUGAAGACUAACUACUGCGAAAGCAUUUGCCAAGGAUGUUUUCAUUAAUCAAGAACGAAAGUUAGGGGAUCGAAGACGAUCAGAUACCGUCGUAGUCUUAACCAUAAACUAUGCCGACUAGGGAUCGGACGAAGUUAAUUUUAUAAUGACGCGUUCGGCACCUUACG